CUUCAAAUUAACCGCCCAAAGCCCUAUAUGGAUGCUGUCCGUUUCGGCGGACUAUGGCGAUAAACGCGCACGUAAUAAGCGGACUGGACGCGGGUGCGAUUCCCGCCGGCUCCACCAAAAAUCCCGGGUCAGGGUCCGGGACUUCUGAUGGGGCCGAUCAGGAUCGACAGACGUGUAAAGGUGUUUGCUUUCGCCCGCACGGUGCUGCGUUAAAAGCCCAUACAUCAGAGUUGCCAAUGACAACUUUGCUGAAGAGGUCGCUCUCGCUGCGUAACGCAGCGCGAGUAUCUCGCACUUAAGCCCUGACCGGUUAGCUCGGUCAGGCGGGGCUCGGGGGCGCCUGGCAACAGAAGCCCC
RNAcentral lists this transfer-messenger RNA (357 nucleotides) under uncultured Euryhalocaulis sp. RNAcentral describes it as "Alphaproteobacteria transfer-messenger RNA". It matches the Rfam family "Alphaproteobacteria transfer-messenger RNA". From Rfam's summary of the family: Bacterial tmRNA, also known as 10Sa RNA or SsrA, is named for its dual tRNA and mRNA-like properties. The record is from RNAcentral. Lineage: Bacteria; Pseudomonadati; Pseudomonadota; Alphaproteobacteria; Maricaulales; Maricaulaceae.